UUCAAACUCCUCACUUUUAAGUACCAACCCAAACUCAAGUCCACCUUCUCCAUCUCCACUUUCAGCAAGAGACACACCCUUAAAUGCAUGCACCAUCUCAACUUUAACAGGUUUUCCAAAUCCAAAAUUGGUCUCAUAAACAUUAAACUUAGGUGACCCAUGCAGAAACAAUUGAUUUCCAGACAUAUACAUAGUUUUACUUAAUUCAAACCAGUCUUCUAAUUUUUUAAGAGGUUCAUUUUUUAUCUCAUUAACAGCCUUUUCAAUUACCUUAACAACAUCAACAAAACUAUCUAUUCCCUUCAUAUCCUUUCUCUUCAUGGUUGCACUUUUAGACACUACACAGUUCCCAAAAUACCCCUCUGGUAUUGAGUACCCAAGUCUAUCUCUGCAAUCACAUGUGAAACAAAAGUACUCAUCUUUUUCAUCAUCAUCAUCACCACCAUCAUCAUUUUUAUGCAUUGCUUCAACCAUACUAGCCCAAACAAAAGCAGAAGUUACAACAAAUUUAGAUAUAAAUUUUGGCACGUUGAUUUCAUUAUUAUCAUUUUUCUUCCAUUGAUUCAGCACCCAUUUUUUCAUCCCCUCAAUUUCUUCUUUUCCAAAAGCAAUAAUUACCUUAAAAGAAUCUUCAUGUUCUCCAGUGCUUUGACUUUGAGCAAUGAGUCUAAACUUCCAUGAUUUUCUUGUAAAAAAAUAAUCUCUUAAAAUAAGAUCCUCAAGUCCUCUAGGGUCCUUCAAAACUUCUCUAUCAAAACAAGGUAGUGACUUCAAUUCAGCUGCAUCACCUCCUUGAUGGAUAAAAGACCAAGAUUUCAUGAAAUGAUUGCAACUGUUACCAUCCAUCACGUGGCAAUAUGUAAUGCCAAUGCAAACACCAUGGUUGGGAAAAACUGAGACUUGCAAAGCCAACAAUGGAAGAGUGAAUGUGUCAUUUUCAAUGUCAUUAAUAUCUUCAACCCUAGUUUUGUGUGUUAAUAUUGGAGCAAGGUGAUUAUUUUCUUUGAGAUUUUUCAGGUGGUGUUUGUUUGAGAGAUGGUUGAAAUCUGACGAGGAUUCAACGAUGGUGAAGAAGACGGAGUCUUCUUCGGUGCAGCGAAUAAAAGGUUUUUGUGGUGGUGGUGGAGAAAUGAGAUUUCCAGCAAGAGGGAAAAAAUGUUGAAGAGCACAUGAAAGAGACUGUUUGAGAGAUGGAAGUGUUGUUUUGCAAAAAUGGUUGGUAGAAUGAGGAAAAGGAUAGAAGAAUAAGCGUUUAGCGUAGAUUGGACCAGCAAAAUGCAAGUCAAGAAAUGUGAGAGGAAGAUAAGUAGUUGUUGCUGUUCUUGUUGCAGGAAACACAAGAGUUUGCUCAAUAAGUUUAUGCUCUGCUCCUAUAGGUUUUCCCAUUUCUUAAAUUUGAUAUGGAUGGGAUGAUAUGAAAUGCUAUUGGGAAGAAGCAAUUUAUACACCUUUAAGAGAUGUAAUAUCACGUAUAAAAUAUGGAAAAUAUUAUGGUACGACAAUUUUUUUUUUAAAAUAAUUGUACGAUACUAAUCCAUUUGAGUUGAUUCGGUGAUGUUGGCUUGAGACUUUAUGUUUGUUUUAAGAUAUUAAGUUCAAUUCUUUCGAUGUCAAUUUGAAUUCUUCAAAAAAUAAUAAUUGUACGAUACUACCAAG
RNAcentral lists this long non-coding RNA (1656 nucleotides) under Medicago truncatula (barrel medic). RNAcentral describes it as "lncRNA gene17867". The record is from RNAcentral. Lineage: Eukaryota; Viridiplantae; Streptophyta; Magnoliopsida; Fabales; Fabaceae.